Molecule: ribosomal RNA, 434 nt
Filed under: uncultured Lachnospiraceae bacterium
Lineage: Bacteria; Bacillati; Bacillota; Clostridia; Lachnospirales; Lachnospiraceae
Description: partial 16S ribosomal RNA
Rfam family: Bacterial small subunit ribosomal RNA
Source: RNAcentral
ACGGGAGGCAGCAGUGGGGAAUAUUGGACAAUGGGCGCAAGCCUGAUCCAGCGACGCCGCGUGAGUGAAGAAGUAUUUCGGUAUGUAAAGCUCUAUCAGCAGGGAAGAUAAUGACGGUACCUGACUAAGAAGCCCCGGCUAACUACGUGCCAGCAGCCGCGGUAAUACGUAGGGGGCAAGCGUUAUCCGGAUUUACUGGGUGUAAAGGGUGCGUAGGCGGCACAACAAGUCAGUCGUUUAAUUUCGGAGCUUAACUCCGAAUCGGCGAUUGAAACUGUUGAGCUAGAGUACAGGAGAGGUAAGCGGAAUUACUAGUGUAGAGGUGGAAUUCGUAGAUAUUAGUAAGAACACCAAUGGCGAAGGCAGCUUACUGGCCUGCAACAGACGCUGAGGCACGAAAGUGUGGGGAGCAAACAGGAUUAGAUACCCUGGUA